Molecule: ribosomal RNA, 478 nt
Filed under: uncultured bacterium
Lineage: Bacteria
Description: partial 16S ribosomal RNA
Rfam family: Bacterial small subunit ribosomal RNA
Source: RNAcentral
GAUGAACGCUGGCGGCGUGCCUAACACAUGCAAGUCGAACGGAGUCCAGCCUUUAAGACCUUCGGGUCAAAGAGGGGAAGACUGAGUGGCGGACGGGUGAGUAACACGUGGGCAACCUGGCUCAUAGAGGGGGAUAACAGAGAGAAAUUUCUGCUAAUACCGCAUAAGCACACACUGCCGCAUGGCAGAGGGUGAAAAGAGAAUCGCUAUGAGAUGGACCCGCGUCUGAUUAGCCAGUUGGCAGGGUAAGAGCCUACCAAAGCCACGAUCAGUAGCCGAUCUGAGAGGAUGAACGGCCACAUUGGGACUGAGACACGGCCCAAACCCCUACGGGAGGCAGCAGUGGGGGAUAUUGCACAAUGGGGGGAACCCUGAUGCAGCGACGCCGCGUGAGUGAAGAAGUAUUUCGGUAUGUAAAGCUCUAUCAGCAGGGAAGAUAAUGACAGUACCUGAAUAAGAAGCCCCGGCUAACUACGUG